AAAAACACUCCUUCAGCCCCAAAGUACGGUCAUUCCAAGCGUGAGCUGAUGCGGAAGGGUCAGAGCAGGGAGAGGAUGCUCCCGAAACAGCCCCGUGGAGCCCCUGCCGGAGGAGCCCAAAAGCCCUCCAAGGGCGGCUGCGCUGCGGCUUGGGGCGGCCGGACUUUCUCCUUGGAAAGGGUUUUGGGGGAAAGGAGCUUUCCCGAGAGGAAGGAGGGGGCCCGCCCUGCUCACUUGUUCACGCAGUGGGCGGCGGUCAUCACCCAGUUCGUGCGGAUGAGGGAGCCCCCGCAGGUGUGGUGCCAGCUGCCCCCGGAGUAAUACUGGAGGGAGAUCUGGGGAGGGGGCGAGACACGGGCAGGGGGGGCUCAGCGCAGGGUGCCGGGGCGAGGAGAGCCCCGGGAUCGCCCUUGGGACCCCGGCAGGACUCACCUGGUAGGGCCAGGCGUGCGAGCGCGCCUCGGUCCCACCGACCACCCGCUGCAUCCCAUCGAGAUCGAGCUCGGAGCAGCGCCCUGGGGACAGAGGGACGGCGUGAGUCCCCAGCGGAGGGGUCAGGGAGGGUGUCAGGAGGUGCCGAGGCCGAAGGCUCCGGGCGGGACUCACCGCAGAGGGCGAGGGCGGCGAGGAGCACGAGCUGCAGCAUCAUCCUGGAGCGCGGUGUCCACGGCGGGACCGAGGCGCUGCCCCGCGGGCGCUUUAACGGGGCCGCGGGAGGAGGCGCGGGAAGGGAAGCAGGUGCCGCGGCCCCAGCGAGCGGCCUUGGCCCCUCUGCCAAAGCACACACGGCGCCGAGGCCGAGGCACCCCACGGACACCCCGAGCGGCCCUCGGCUCCGGCUCCCGCGCAGACGCCGCCCCGCGCCGGCACCUUCCUGCUCCCGUGUCCCGGAGCCGUGUCCCGAGGUUGUCCCGGUCUGGGCCCCGGGGGGCCUCGGCUGCGGCUCUCCGUGGCCUUGAUUUGUGGGACGGUCCCAGAGUCUGAUCCAGCACCCGAAUGGAGCCGCAGCGUUGCUGGCCUGGGGAAAUCGAGGCACAAACGGGGCACGACCUCCAGUCCCUCGCCAACCCCGCGGCACAGCCAGCGCUGGAGCAGGGCCGGGGCUCGGCCUCCCCGGGGCCUGACUUUGGGGCUAAAUGAAGCAGCGCUACGGUUUGAAAUAAAGCCCGG
Molecule: long non-coding RNA, 1170 nt
Filed under: Corvus moneduloides (New Caledonian crow)
Lineage: Eukaryota; Metazoa; Chordata; Aves; Passeriformes; Corvidae
Description: lncRNA (ENSCMUG00000016879.1)
Source: RNAcentral